Molecule: long non-coding RNA, 220 nt
Filed under: Prunus persica (peach)
Lineage: Eukaryota; Viridiplantae; Streptophyta; Magnoliopsida; Rosales; Rosaceae
Description: long non-coding RNA (PPER_LNC000630)
Source: RNAcentral
AGUUACUCACAAUAAAGUAUUAAUGAACCACACAUAAAUAUCAAUUAAAUAGGCCAAAGCUCAUACUGUUGAUAUGCUCGUAAAGAUGCCGUAGAAGUAAUUAUGGUAGAAAUAAAGUCAAUAUGUUAUUUAACUAACUACGAAAGCACUCAUAUAUGCGUAGAUGACUAAUGUGUGCAUAAACAACUCACGAAAGCAAAACUUUUAAAAUAACUCUCCA